Molecule: ribosomal RNA, 554 nt
Filed under: Gastrotheca recava
Lineage: Eukaryota; Metazoa; Chordata; Amphibia; Anura; Hemiphractidae
Description: partial small subunit ribosomal RNA
Rfam family: Bacterial small subunit ribosomal RNA
Source: RNAcentral
GACCUUAAAAAGUUCCCUAAACAUAAAGGUUUGGUCCUAGCCUUGAACUCAGCCCUCACCUAGUAUAUACAUGCAAGUCUCCGCACUCCUGUGAAAACGCCCUUGACCCCUUCUGGAACAAGGAGCCGGUAUCAGGCACAACAAUUAGCCCAAGACACCUAGCUUUGCCACACCCUCACGGGAACUCAGCAGUAAUUAACAUUAAAUAUUAGCGACAGCUAGAUUUAGCCCAGGUGAAGAGGGCCGGCAAAUCUGGUGCCAGCCGCCGCGGCUACACCAUCAGGCCCAAGUUGAGCUCCUUCGGCGUAAAGCGUGGUUAAAGUUAACACCAAACUAGAAUUAAACUUGAACUAAGUUGUAAUAAGCUUGUUCAUAGGAAAACCACAAACGAAAGUUACUCUAAUACCCUCAACUUGAACCCACGACCGCUUGGACACAAACUGGGAUUAGAUACCCCACUAUGCCUCGCCGUAAACUUUUAUUUACUAACCAAUCGCCAGGAAACUACGAGCUAAGCUUAAAACCCAAAGGACUUGACGGUGCCCCACAUCCAC